Molecule: long non-coding RNA, 2053 nt
Filed under: Homo sapiens (human)
Lineage: Eukaryota; Metazoa; Chordata; Mammalia; Primates; Hominidae
Description: HSALNT0264520
Source: RNAcentral
UGGGCUCUGACAGCAGCUAUGUCUCUCCCAUCUAUAGCCUCCUCCACACUUCUGACUCUUCAGGGACUCCAGAGAUGCCAAAUCUUCCCCCAGAUUCAGGAACUUUGUUGUUCAAUUAAAUGGAGAGCUUGUGCAUUUCAAUGAGACAAACGUUGCUAGCAAGAGGUAAAGACAACUGGGAACACCAAGAGGCAUGGCAUGAGAUGGUCAUAGUCAGAAGCUCCGUCAAAUGGCAAACACUUUUAAAUCUCUAAUAUGUGGUAGGUACUUUCCUAAGAGCUUUACAUGAAACGUCUUAUUUAAUCUUCACCAAAAUAAAUAAAGUAGACACUGCCAUUAUUAACAUUGUACAGACCAGGAAAUGGAGACACAGAGAAACUUGACAAGCUGAAAGUGAUGGAACCAGUACCCAGGAAAGAAAAGCCCAGUACCCCUUUUUAAUGACUGUCUGUGUUUCAUGGCAUGUUUUUCCCAUAUAUCUCCUUGAUUUUGAUGCUUCACCCAAAUUAUCUCUCCCAGGCCAGUGUACCAUUCCCCAGCUGCUAUGAGAGUUGACUACGAACUGCUCACAGUUGUCUUUUCCAGAGAACUGUCUCUGACCAAUGGGGGUCACCUUGGGCAAGAAUGCCUAGGAGUUAUGCCGCUUCUUCCCCCUUCAGAUGGGAGGGUAGCAGCUUGUAACUAAUAAUAGACUGAAAGGGGAGCACAAAGGCCUGUUACUCAAGGUGACCAGUGCUACAGUGCAUGUAUACACCAGAACUCUCCGUGGGAUCAGCCUAAGGCUUAGAGUUCAGCUGAAGUUACUGUUUUGUUUGACUCCUUCCUCUGUCCCAUCUUGCUUCUCUUAGUCCCUUUCUUCUGAAUGCCCUUCCUCAAUCAUUCACUUGCACAAGAAUCUGCAUCCCAGGCUCUGCUUCUAGGGACUCUGAGCUAGGACAGACCUUAUUUCACCCUUUAGGGUUUACACUCAAUAUCACCUCUCCAGGUUUGCUAUUUUUUUUCCAUUUUAAUUACAGUUCAGGAUCCCCUUGGCUUCACUUCCUUUAGCUUUAAAUUAAGAUAUCCCACCUGGUCCAACCCAAAUACCAGAACGUCUUACCUCCAUGAAUACCACCUACCUGAGGAAUUCAAUAAACACUUAUGGACCAAAAGAAGAGUAUCAAAUUCAACCAGUCACAUAUUAUAAUAACAAUAAUAACAGCAGCAGAAAGUGCCUCCUUGAGACUAGCUGAACUUAUCAAAUAAGAAAAUGCUGGCUUGGGAACUGUGACUCACACCUACAAUCCUAGCACUUUGAGAGGCCAACCUAGGAGGAUUGCUUAAGGCCAGGAGUUCAAGACCAACCUGGACAACAUAGCAAAAAUUAGCCCAGUGUGGUGGUGUGUGUCUGUAAUUUCAACUACUUGUGAGGUAGGAAGAUUGAUUGAACUUAGGAGUUUGAGGCUGCAGUGAGCUAUGAUUCUACAGCUGCCCUCCAACCUGGACAAGAGAUGAGACACUGCCUCUAAAAAAAAAAACAAAGAAAAGAAAACUAUAAAUCAAAUGCUGGAGUCAUCAGAGAGAACAUACAGUCAACUCAUAAGGAUUAGUUUAUGCCUUCAAAAACUUGUGUUAGGUCCAGUGGGGAAAAAAAUCACUAGUCUCUGUGUCUACUGGGGGAUCUCCAACUCAUCCUUGAAGACUUGGAUCAAUACCCCUUUUUUUUCUGUAAAUCUCAACAUAAGCUCCUCUCCCAUCCCACCAAGACUGAGCUGACUGAAUCUCCUUUACAGAAGACAACACCUGGUACCCAUUAUAAUGUCUUUUAUAAUGCUUGCCACACUGUACAACAAUUUUGUUGGCACCUUUUUCCUCCUUGCUUAUCUGUGAGCCCUUGACGCCAGCAGCCAUGUUUAUUAUUGCUCUAUCUAUACCCCAUCAAGCAUGCAACCCAUAAAAAAUAACAAAUAUCUAUUUGUAAAAUGCCUGAAUGAUAGUGGAGAACAAGCAGGACUGGAACCAGCUCCAGAAUCACAUAAAGCUUCAUUCUCAUGGACUUUACUGCUUUUCUUAU